CGCACUUUUUGAGGUGCUGGCAGAUGCUAAUCCGACGUGACAAUCAGGUCACUGCCUGUAAAGGCUUUGGGAUUGC
Molecule: non-coding RNA, 76 nt
Filed under: unclassified sequences
Description: S15-Methanomicrobia ribosomal protein leader
Rfam family: S15-Methanomicrobia ribosomal protein leader
Source: RNAcentral